AAAAAUUACCCGGCCCGGACACUGGGAGGAUUGACAGAUUGAGAGCUCUUUCUUGAUUCGGUGGAUGGUGGUGCAUGCCUGUUCUUAGUUGGCGGAGCGAUUUGUCUGGUUAAUUCCGAUAACGAACGAGAUUCUAGCCUAUUGAAUAGGUGCGUGGGUGAUCAUGCCUUUUAUAGGUGAGUAUUUAAACACAAGAUAUAGAUACAACGAGAAUAUUUGAGCAUCUUCAACUACUUUUGGAAUUACAUCUGGCUUUCUCAACAUCUUUAACUUUAAUUUAACCCCAGGUAAGAAAAGAAAAAGUGUUUGAGCAAGGAGUGGGGUGGAUAUACACCAAGAACCAAGGG
This 347-nucleotide non-coding RNA is filed under the name Ixodes scapularis (black-legged tick). Its description in RNAcentral is "Eukaryotic small subunit ribosomal RNA". It matches the Rfam family "Eukaryotic small subunit ribosomal RNA", at positions 1210 to 1450 of the family's 1831-position model. The record is from Rfam by way of RNAcentral. Lineage: Eukaryota; Metazoa; Arthropoda; Arachnida; Ixodida; Ixodidae.